Ornithorhynchus anatinus (platypus) is the source of this 614-nucleotide long non-coding RNA. RefSeq lists it as uncharacterized. Lineage: Eukaryota; Metazoa; Chordata; Mammalia; Monotremata; Ornithorhynchidae. The record is from RefSeq and is a predicted model, not a curated record. The transcript is spliced from 3 exons.
GACAUGGUGACCCAGUUUUCCAAGCAAAGGACAGCCUGUGAAGGUUCCGCAUUCUCAUCAGCUGCUCUUUUUGAGAUCCUGGAUUGAGACUUGCCAUGGUGAAGAAGACAAGAGUUAAAAAAUUGGAAGUGACUCUUAAUGAGGUGCAGUAGCAGCUGACCCAACUUUGUUAUACCUCCUGGUUUCUCACAUUGUCAAUUUGAUUGGAGAUUGGUGAAUCUCAUGAAGAGAUGGAGACCUUGCAGUCCACAUUUCUGUGCUCCAGAUGGGGAAAGCAUUAAAAGAGCCUAAAAAUAAACCCAAGCAGAAGUGUGCAGCUGAUCCUUAGACCAGAAAAAAGGCUUGCCCCUUUCCGUGAUCAAGCCUCUGAAAAUGUCAUAAAGCAGAUACUUUGCCACAUGCCAGAAUGCUUUAAAUGGUAGUGAGCAGACUUGAUAUGGAUCACCAUCUUGGUACAGGAAUCAUCUUCCAGGGAAUAUAAUUGGAUGGAGAAAGUACAAUCCAGCCUUUUUUGCAAUUAUGUGGUAGAAAAACCAGAAAUAAAUGCAUUAACUCCUUCAUAAUUUGAGUUUGCCAUCAAACUACACAGGCCUCCAAAAAUGUGCUGUCAGAUC